CCCUCCGGGCCUCUCCCUCCUCCUCCUCUCUGCGGGCGUGAGAGACGCGGGAGAAGAGCUUGACACUCUCCACGCUCGCACAUUUCCCCUGGAGCAGCUCCCCUUGGGACCCCGCGAGAUGCAGGGGAUACAGCGCAAGACGACGAUGCCCACGGACGCUGGUGAUGAUGGAGGAGCAGGAGGAGGGGGGCAUUGAGAAGCGGUUUUGCCCGGGGAGAGUUACUCCCGGCGGACGCGGCUAGGCGCGGAGUUCACUCACCAACUCGCUCUCGACGCGGAGUGCGGGUCACGGCGAGGUGGGGGCUGCCCUGCCCUGCCCGGUGCUUCCCUGCCCUUCCCUUCCCUGCCCUUCCCCUCCCUUCCCUGCCCUCCCCUGCCCCUCCCUUCCCUGCCCUUCCCUUCUACCCCUUGCCCAGCACUCGACUCUGCUCCCGUCCAGGUGGGGGGCCUUUGGGCGCUUGUCUGUGCCUCCAUCGCAUGACGUGCCCAGGGUGAGAGCCCCCCACGGUGGGAGCGAGGUCCUCGCACUCCAAGCUCUAUCGGCAAUCCAGACUCCAAAGUCUCCCGGAUCCAAAAUCCAGGCUCCGGGAUUCCGACUCCCAACACCCGAGGAUCAAUAACUCCAGGUUCCAGGCACCGACGCUUGAGGCUACUAAAGGCCCAGCAACCAAGACUCCAGGCUCCACAAGCCAAUAAUCCUCCAUGCGGCGUGCUCCAGGCCCUGAGGCUCCAAGCUUUGGAAUUGUGGCUCCAAGCUCACCACACUCCAGACUCCUGUCCUAAGACUCCAGAAUCCUGGAGCAUGGACCCCCAGGAUUUCUCCACGCCCGGCUCGGCGCCUCCCCCGCCGCUGAGUGCGGGGGGCCGGGUAUCCUGUCAUCCCGGCCCCGCUGCUGGCCCCCUUCUCAUCUUCUCUACCCCCCACACAAGUACAUGGCGGCCCCCCACCUGCAACAGAAGCCCCUGCCCAGCGCGCACCCCUCAGGGAGCCCUGCCCUGGGGGCACCCACUGCGUUCCUGGGCAGCUUCCUGGGGGGCCCUUUGGGUGCUCCACUGGGGGGAGGCUCAAUGGGGGGCUCGGCCACACCGCCCGCUAUGUCGAGCUCUGCUGA
Lethenteron reissneri (Far Eastern brook lamprey) is the source of this 1112-nucleotide long non-coding RNA. RefSeq lists it as uncharacterized. The record is from RefSeq and is a predicted model, not a curated record. NCBI's taxonomy places the organism in Eukaryota, Metazoa, Chordata, Hyperoartia, Petromyzontiformes, Petromyzontidae.